This 433-nucleotide ribosomal RNA is filed under the name uncultured bacterium. RNAcentral describes it as "partial 16S ribosomal RNA". It matches the Rfam family "Bacterial small subunit ribosomal RNA", at positions 29 to 507 of the family's 1533-position model. The record is from RNAcentral.
AACGAACGCUGGCGGCAUGCCUAACACGUGCAAGUCGAACGAGACCUUCGGGUCUAGUGGCGCACGGGUGCGUAACGCGUGGGAACCUGCCCUUAGGUUCGGAAUAACUCCCCGAAAGGGGUGCUAAUACCGGAUAAUGUCUUCGGACCAAAGAUUUAUCGCCUUUGGAUGGGCCCGCGUUGGAUUAGCUAGUUGGUAGGGUAAAAGCCUACCAAGGCGACGAUCCAUAGCUGGUCUGAGAGGAUGAUCAGCCACACUGGGACUGAGACACGGCCCAGACUCCUACGGGAGGCAGCAGUGGGGAAUAUUGGACAAUGGGCGAAAGACUGAUCCAGCAAUGCCGCGUGAGUGAUGAAGGCCUUAGGGUUGUAAAGCUCUUUUACCCGGGAUGAUAAUGACAGUACCGGGAGAAUAAGCGCCGGCUAACUCCGUG